CUAAUACCGCAUAAAUUCCGCCUUGGAGAGGGGCAAUCAAAGCCAGGACCGCAAGGCCUGCACUCGAGGAGGGGCCCGCGUCCGAUUAGCUAGUUGUGAGGUAACGGCUCACCAAGGCGACGAUCGGUAGCCGGCCUGAGAGGGCGGACGGCCACACUGGGACUGAGACACGGCCCAGACUCCUACGGGAGGCAGCAGUGGGGAAUUGUUCGCAAUGGGCGCAAGCCUGACGACGCAACGCCGCGUGGAGGAUGAAGAUCUUCGGGUCGUAAACUCCUGUCGAGCGGGACGAACACUUUGAGGGUUAACAGCCCUCGAGGCUGACGGUACCGCUAAAGGAAGCCCCGGCUAACUGCGGGCCAGCAGCCGCGGUAAUUCAGCGUGGACAAGCGUUAUUCGUAAUUGCUUUGGUUAAACUGUUCAUGGGCGUCCGACUAAAUCAUACUCAUCAUCCCUGGGGUGAUGCGUGGACAGGCUUGCGCUCAUGGUGAACAAUUCUCCAGUGGUGCCUCCCGUAGGAGUCUGGUGCCGUGUCUCAGUGCCAGUGUGUCCGUCCGACCUCUCAGGCCGGCUACCGAUUGUCGCCCUGGCGAGCCGUUACCUCACCAACUAGCUAAUCGGACGCGGGCCCCUCCUCGAGUGCCAGGCCUUGCGGUCCCUGGCUUUGAUUGCCGCCUCUCCAAAGGCGGAAUGUUAUGCGGUAUUAGCACCCCUUUCGGGAUGUUAUCCCCCGCUCGAGGGUAGGUCACCCACGCGUUACUCACCCGUUUGCCACUCUACUCAGGGCCGAAGCCCCUUUCGCGUUCG
This 807-nucleotide ribosomal RNA is filed under the name uncultured bacterium. RNAcentral's name for it is "bacterial SSU rRNA". The stretch from base 1 to 445 matches the Rfam family "Bacterial small subunit ribosomal RNA", at positions 163 to 1533 of the family's 1533-position model. The record is from RNAcentral.